UCUUGUAAUGAUCGCAACGCUCUUACGCAGAUUCGAAAUAAGAUUUAUUGUUUUCUCUAAACUCGUUUGUUAUCUUUUCACGAUUUCUACAUAUAUUUGGUCACUUGUCGUUGGCUCUCGCAGAGAUCCGGGACCUCUGGGAAAUUAGGGUUUUCUUAGUUUCCUAAUUUAAACGUAAAUCGACAGUGCGAAUUUCGGUUCCCACAAUCUCAAUGUCUUUAUCAGUCUCUCUGCUCUCUCUGAAGAAAUUACCAAGUCUAUACUUAUGAUAAGCAUCCUCAAAAGACAUAUCCUUAGGAACCCUUUUCACGCUCUUGUGAAAUCCUUCAAGUUCCUCUUUGUUAACUUCUCUCCUAAGGUGUUUGGGAAUAUAGGGUUUCCUAGAUUUCACUCUCUUCUCAACUGGAAUGUCUUAUUUCGUUGCCUGCCUUUCCAUGGCAGGUUCAUAUCCGUCUGUUUGGUGUCGAUCGAUACCUGGUAGAUGCUGUGGAUCGAUACCUGGUAGAUGUCAUCGAUCGAAACUCUCAACGAAAGAGGUUUCAGCUAGGGUUGAUUGCUCUUGCUCUUGUGCUUCUGCAGAUUGUUGACUUGUCUUCUCUGUUGUCUUCAAGCAAAUUGAUGUGUGAGAUGGAUUUCGGGUUGCCUUCAAGCGGUGUGCAUCAACAUCUGGUAAAUGUACUCGGUAUGGCAUUGACGAUUGUCGAUCGCUGCUCUUUUGUUGUUGUCGAUCGACGUUGCCAUGUUGAUACCGGUUGAUUUUUUACCGAUUAACGUUAUCUAAUAUAAAUCGAGCUAGGGUGGGAGGAUGCGGGUGUCGAGUGGAAAAAUCUUAGUGGCUCUGAAUUCGAACAGUUUUGUCUGAUCCCAAAAGUGGUGUCGGCUGAUACUCGACUGACGAUGUCGAUCGGUGCUCAGCUGUUGAUGUCGGUCGACAACAGUACGAGCUGCCUACGGACAUGCAGCUUUCGACUAGUAUAUCAUCUUCUUUCGGCUUCUCCUUCCUGAGCACUUCCCCAAGGUCAUUAUCUGCGAUGGCAUUAACAUGGUGCCUCCCACUUUCCACAACUUUCCCUUUGACCAGAGCUUCUUGCUUCUUCACAGCAUCUGCAGUCUGAGAAACCUAGGCAUUUAGCAUCAUGACAUGGGCAUCUAAGGUUUCAAAUUUUUCAUUCAGAUCUUUGUAGAGAACAUCCAACCUCAGAUUCAAGUAUGCACUUGUCUUCUGCUGAAUUUUCAGGAUCUUCUCUAUCAUAGAUUAUAUCUUUUCUAUAUAGCCUUGAUCCUCAUCCUUCUCUACAGCAUGUUCUACCAACGAGACUUCAUGUACAGAACCAAUCUAAGGCUCAACGAUCAUGUCACUAUCCAUUGCAGCUGAUUUUAUCCUGUGCAUAUCAAGAUUUUUGGAACUCUUGCUAGACAUCAAGUUCUCAAUCAGCCUCUUAGCUUCUUCUGGGGUUCUUGUCUCAAAGUUUCCUUCGCUUGUAGUAUCCAACAUCAUAUGAUAUCGCACAUCAAUACUCUUGCAGAAAUUCUUCCACAGCUGAAUCUCUGUAAAACCAUGAUGUGGAAAGUCCCUUUGGUAUCUCCUAAACCUCUCCCAAGAGCUUUUGAAAGCUUUUGUAGGUCCCUGAGAGAAUGUCCAAAUUUUAUCUCUCAUAUCUUCAGCCCUUGCAUCAUCUAAACGUUCAGUCAUAAACGCAGUCCUGACAUCAUUCCAUGUAGUGAGAGAUCCUGGUGGUAGGCAUCUCAGCCACUUUUAGCAUUCCCAGAGAGAGAAUAUUUGAACAGCUUGCAGAUGAUGUAGUCUUUGGUUGCUUCAUCCUUCUGGAUGCGAGACACAAAGUCUUCGAGUGUCUCAAUAUGAUCUGAGGGAUUUUCAUCAGGAAAACCACGAUAAGGGUGCUGACCCACAUGAGAGAAGUGUGUGGGUUGUAUUUGAAAUCCCUGGAUUUUUAGAGGUUGAAUCGCAGACCUGUUGCUGUACAACUGACUAGGCCUGGUCAAAUCUGCUAACGAUAUCUGAAGAGGAACUUUAGCAUCCUCGGUGGCAGCAGAUGGCUCAAGGAUUGCAGUUCCUUGUCCAUCUAUCUUCUGACCUUCUGCAUUACACAGAUGACCUCCAGGGUCAUGCAGGUCUCCAUUCUCAUCCCUAUGUAGCACAAGUGUCGCCACCAUGUCUGCUCGUGGAUCGGUAUCGAUCGAUGUUCGAGUUGAACUGUCGAUCUUUGCUCUGUCACAAGUGUCGAUCGACAUAGUAGAGGUAGUGUCGAUCGAUGAUGUGCGUUUCUCUUUGCGGAUCGAGCGUUCCAAACGUGCUGGGUCUGAGAAGAAAAGUAACUCCUUCUUGCUGCUUCUGGUACUGAUAGGCAUGUACCUGAAAGACAAGAAAAGUUUUUAUGUAAGUAACUAUGACAGUAAAUAAAACCUAGACUAAACCUAUUAAUCAAGUCUAAUGGCGAUCAAAGCUCCCCGGCAACGACGCCAAAUUUGAUAUCACUCAAAUUACCUUAAAGAGUGAUUUUACUCUCUCAAAUAAGAGGUUCAACUAUAGUACUUAGGGAUAAAAUUCUCAGAGAGCUAGGGCACACAACAGACUAUAGAAAUCAAGAUUAAGCUAGGCAAACAGUUUAUAAAGAAGUAAAUCAAUGAAAGCAAGGUGAACAAAGUAGUUGUUCGAUUCGUUGAUUGAGGUUGUAAAUAAUUAGGAGAAAUAGUUAGACGUGGGAUUAAUAAAUCAAGAGAUUCAAAACUUCAAUUCAAGGAUGCUAAUGCUUUAUAGAUUAAUUCUUUAACUCGAUUUUAAUAAGUAAGCAAUCCAGCUUUGGCAUGCAAUUGCUAAUCGAAUGUCUAAGUCCAGUCUCAGCUGUUGCUUGUUGACGUGGAGCGAGUGUCGAUCGAUGCUAUGGCCUGAGCGUCGAUCGAUACUUCCUCAAAGAUGCAUUAACGACCUAAUCGAUUAAGUUCAACUAAAUUCCUAAACCAACUCUCGUAUGAGCCUAGGUAUCUAAUCCAACAGAGUUUUGGGUUCCGUUAAUUGAUUGCACUUUCGUGCCUCUCAACUAUCCUAUGAUUCUAGGUUCAAACAAUUAGUCACACUAUCGUGCUAUUCUAACUAUUCCAGAUCCUAGUAUUGCAAAUCAUCCUGGUGUAGAGAUCUAUAGAUAACCUAGCAAUCCUAAUUGAUUAUCAGUUUGACAUUAAGCUCAUGAAAUCCCUAAACCUAACAAGAUGAAUUACUCAGACAUGCAAGCAAUAACACAAAUCAUAGUCUGAAUAAUAUAAUAGAUAUGUAAUCAAUGAUAAAACCAAUGGAGUUCUAAUCAAUUUCCGAAGGAGAACUGAUCUUCUCUUCAACCCUAAAACAAGAAUAAUGAAUAAUAGAAAGCGUGUUGAAUGCGUAGCCAUCAUCAAUGGCUUAUAAAUAACAUAAAUAGGGUUUUUGGCCGUCCAUGGAUAUUUUCAUAACUUGGUUUGGCUUCUUGAUAGAUUAUGGAUUUGACCCAUUUUCAUCCAUAGUUUAUAGGUGUUUUACUAAUAAUUAUUAUAUUAUAGAGUCUAUUUAUUAUAUUUAUAAGAUCCGGAGUGUUUUGGAGAUAAGUGAUGAUUUUGGAGGAUUUUGGAGAAUUUUGGAGCAAGCACUCGAGAUGAUCAUCGAAAAUCGACAAUCGGUUGAUAUUGGAGAGGAAUAAUCGAUCAAUACGCAUGACUUGGUAUCGAUCGACAGCAAAGCGCGCAGAAAGCCUGUUUGGUCACAUCCGACUUGAAGCCUAAGACUUUACCAUUUGAUAAGAUUACCCCUGACGAGUUUUACCCUAAUUAUACAAGCUUUGCAGCCAUGUUCGAGGCAAAGUAUGCUUUCAUUGUUUUACUAUUUUCACAGUGAUAGACCAUGGAUUUUACCCACUUUUAGCCAUGGUCUAUAAGUGUUUACAUAUAUAUAUUUACUACUAUAUAGAGUCUAUUUAGAGUAUUUACAAGUUCAGAGACGAUUUGGAGGAAUGUGGUGAUUUUGGUGUCUUUUGAAGCCUUUUGAAUGCAGAACUGCACAGACGUGUCAGAUAUCUAGCUAUGGAUUGAGACCUUCCCACCGUUAGACGUGUCCAGGACCUACAGCUGAUUAAAAUCUCGAGGCUGCAAUACCAGAGUCAGCGUCAGUAGACAUUAGAACUUCAGCAUCGGUCGACUUCCAAUCCUCAAAAUCGAUCGACAAUAAGCCUUCAUUAUCGGAUGACUCACAAUCUUCAGAAUUGAUCGACACGAAGCCUUCCACAUCGGUCGAUACCAUACGACUUUCAGAACAGCCCGAGACUGAAAAGUCUAAGUCUGGGGGAAGGAACAAGAAUAGAAAGAAGAAAAAGAAAAGGAAGCAGAUGCAGAUCCCCUAUCAAUAGUUCCUUUGCAAUGUCAAGAGGGUAGUCUUGAGUAUAGAGUGCGCUGCAGAGGAGGUUCUGAAUCCUUUCCCAAGGUCAGAGUGCUAUGUUAUCCAGAACUGAGGGACAAAGGGGAAGCUUCUGCAAGAGCUUUUAUCAACUGCAUCAAAAAGAUGAGAAAGAGAGACACUGUGACUUGUUCUGGAGCAAGUUCACAUGCUCAUCCAAACUAAAUCAGAUCUCCUAAAGUCAAGCUAAUGACUGAAAAUAAGCGCUGAGUGGGAGGCAACCCACUAUUAGGUAAUUUCUUUCAUUUUAGUUUAGAUUGUUAUUGAUUAAAGUUUUUCAUUAUUGCAGGUCAAAAAAAAAAAGGAGAGAAGAUCCAUGGUCCAUGAGUUCUGCACCAGCAUCGAGCGCAGCUGGCCAGCGUAUCAAUCGACAGAACAUCAUAAGUAUCGAUCGCCACUUAACUAUGUUGAUCGAUAAUAACAUCAAUGACAGGUAUACUCGCGAAAUCUUGUUAAAUUUAGUACUUAUGGUUUAUUUUCCCACCAAUCUUAGACUGUAUGACACUCGGAAGUGUUGUUUAAGUCUAGGAGAGGUUCUACUGAUAUUGUGUUUUAGCUAGCUAUUAUAAAAAAAAAGGGAUCCGAGUAGACGAUUUCCCAGCAUAUCGAUCGAUGAGGGCAUGUCAAUAUCGAUCGACAAUACAUUACCUGCAGCGACUGAUGGCAACUCCUUUCCAUCGAUUGACACUUAAUCCGGUCAGGUAUAUCGUUCUCACUUGUUAAAUUGAGUACUUAUGAUUUAUUUAUCACCAUAACUCCGACUAGAUAUACACUCGGGACAGUGUAAUUUAAGUCUGGGAGAUGUUUACUGAUAUUAGUGUGUUUAUGAGUCUUAUCAAAGUGUUUUCAAAAGAGUUUUAUUGAGUCAAGAAGGGGAUAAUAAACCUAUUAGGUUUUUGCUUGUUAUCUAACCAUUCUUUAGCACCAAUCUAGACUUACUGAUUGCAAAUAGUACUAAAGAUACUAAAGUGGAUCAAUCUGUCAACUAUUCACACUUGCUGAGAUUGUUUGAAGGAACCAAAGCUGACCUCCAACACUGAACCUGACACAACUGCUUGUCUUGGGGCUUGGUAUACAUGGGAUUAGAUUCUUCAAACAAGUUUGGAAGGUAAAGCCUUGAGUAGAUUUAUCACUUUUUCUCUCUCUAUUUCGAGCCUAGAUUUAUAGGUAGAGAUAUUUAUUUCCAAAAAAAAAACAAAAAAGAAAGAAAAGAA
Molecule: long non-coding RNA, 5652 nt
Organism: Brassica rapa (field mustard)
Lineage: Eukaryota; Viridiplantae; Streptophyta; Magnoliopsida; Brassicales; Brassicaceae
Source: RefSeq, a predicted model, not a curated record